CUGCCCUUCCCCAUCCACCGCCAAGCUGUGACCUCCCCCAGGGCGCCCAGGCACAGCACGGGAGGGAGGGCUGCAGCUGGCAGGGCCCUGGCCAGCACCCGACGUCGGCCGCGCCACCACGCUGGGCUGCCGCGCCUGCUCUGGGCCCUCUGUGCACAGCGCCGGAGCUUGCCUGAGCGGCUCUCUGUCUUCCUCCCUGUCUGCAUCUCCCUGCCUCGCUGGGCACGCUGGCAACGUGGGUUGGGGGCAGGAUGAGGGUGCGGGGCAUGGUUAGGGGCAGGCACGACCAAUGCGGAGGCCAGGCAGGCCACAAGGGCUGGGUCAGGGACGCCAGGGUGGCCUGCAGGCUGCAUGUGGCCCUCCAAGGUGAUGUUCACACCGUCCCAGGAAGGCUUGUUGUGGCCAUGUGACAGAGAGGAGCUGAGSCCCAAGAGCUCCCAUGGCUUUGCUCUGGCCAGACAGCCAGGGCAGGCACUGCUGCUUCUCCCAAGGCGCAGGGCAGUGCCUGAGCCUCACCCCCAAGCUCGGGCAGCGCAGCAGGGACGUCUCAGCAGCGGGAGGUGUGUCUGUUUUUUUUCUGCAGGCAACCAGAGCGCUACAGCAGAUCCUCCAGCAGCCGCCCUGCCUGCAGGUGCUAGAGGUGUUUUUCCCCCAGCUCUUCCUGGCGCUGCUCUUCCAGAUUUCCUUCAGUGCAGAGCUGACGCUGGSAGAGGCUGACAUCUUCYGGAGGGAAUGCCGAGGAGAAGAGUCUGCUCCCACCAGCCCCGCCAGGUGCUCCACCGCAGCCCCGCCRUCUCUGCCGUGGACCUAUAGGCAGGGCCAGGGGUGCCAGCGUGACCUGGCCUUUGCUCCGCACGCAGCAGGGUGUCAGGCAGGGCUGGUGGGAGGAAGACAGAUGCUGGGCAGGGAGCUGCCAUGCCUGCCCCAGGCGAGGAGGGCUCUGCUCGCCGUGCAGAGCAGGGGCGGUGUGGGUAGAGUAGAGAGAAGAUUUCAGGCGCCUUUGGGACAUUCCUGGCCAGCAGCUCCCAGUUGAUGCAUUUGUCCCCCCAGCUCCCUCCUGGCUGUGGGAAGAGCCGGGUGGGACUGGCUGUGUCAGGAGGS
This 1101-nucleotide long non-coding RNA is filed under the name Apteryx haastii (Great spotted kiwi). Its description in RNAcentral is "lncRNA (ENSAHAG00000006473.1)". The record is from RNAcentral. Lineage: Eukaryota; Metazoa; Chordata; Aves; Apterygiformes; Apterygidae.